Molecule: ribosomal RNA, 500 nt
Filed under: uncultured bacterium
Lineage: Bacteria
Description: bacterial SSU rRNA
Rfam family: Bacterial small subunit ribosomal RNA
Source: RNAcentral
ACUCAAAUGAAUUGACGGGGGCCCGCACAAGCGGUGGAGCAUGUGGUUUAAUUCGAUGCAACGCGAAGAACCUUACCUAGGCUUGACAUGGGGCCGCGACGCCGGGAAACCGGCGCCCCUCCUCGGAGGCGGCCCACACAGGUGGUGCAUGGUUGUCGUCAGCUCGUGUCGUGAGAUGUUGGGUUAAGUCCCGCAACGAGCGCAACCCCUAUCUUUAGUUCCCAGCGGGUAAAGCCGGGCACGCUAGAGAGACUGCCGUGGACAACACGGAGGAAGGUGGGGAUGAUGUCAAAUCAUCAUGCCCCUUACGUCUAGGGCUACACACGUGCUACAAUGGGCUCUACAAAGUGAAGCGAAGCCGCGAGGCGGAGCGGACCACAAAAAGAGCCCCCAGUUCGGAUUGAAGUCUGCAACCCGACUUCAUGAAGUUGGAAUCGCUAGUAAUCGCGAAUCAGCAUGUCGCGGUGAAUACGUUCCCGGGCCUUGUACACACCGCCCGU